Molecule: ribosomal RNA, 229 nt
Filed under: uncultured bacterium
Lineage: Bacteria
Description: partial 16S ribosomal RNA
Rfam family: Bacterial small subunit ribosomal RNA
Source: RNAcentral
CGGUCCUAGUGGCGAACGGUCGCGUAACACGUAAGCAACCUGCCCUGAAGUGGGGGACAACAUCCCGAAAGGGGUGCUAAUACCGCAUGUGGUCACGAGUCGGCAUCGGCUUGUGUCUAAAGAUUUAUCGCUUCAGGAUGGGCUUGCGGCCUAUCAGGUAGUUGGUGUUUGUAAUGGCCUACCAGGCAAAAGACGGGUAGCUGGUCUGAGAGGACGAUCAGCCGGAUUG